AGUGAACGCUGGCGGUAGGCCUAACACAUGCAAGUCGAACGGCAGCACAGUAAGAGCUUGCUCUUACGGGUGGCGAGUGGCGGACGGGUGAGGAAUACAUCGGAAUCUACUUUUUCGUGGGGGAUAACGUAGGGAAACUUACGCUAAUACCGCAUACGACCUACGGGUGAAAGCAGGGGAUCUUCGGACCUUGCGCGAUUGAAUGAGCCGAUGUCGGAUUAGCUAGUUGGCGGGGUAAAGGCCCACCAAGGCGACGAUCCGUAGCUGGUCUGAGAGGAUGAUCAGCCACACUGGAACUGAGACACGGUCCAGACUCCUACGGGAGGCAGCAGUGGGGAAUAUUGGACAAUGGGCGCAAGCCUGAUCCAGCCAUACUGCGUGGGUGAAGAAGGCCUUCGGGUUGUAAAGCCCUUUUGUUGGGGAAGAAAAGCAGCAGGUUAAUACCCCGCUGUUCUGACGGUACCCAAAGAAUAAGCACCGGCUAACUUCGUG
This 492-nucleotide ribosomal RNA is filed under the name uncultured bacterium. RNAcentral's name for it is "partial 16S ribosomal RNA". It matches the Rfam family "Bacterial small subunit ribosomal RNA", at positions 29 to 507 of the family's 1533-position model. The record is from RNAcentral.